AGUGAACGCUGGCGGUAGGCCUAACACAUGCAAGUCGAACGGCAGCACAGUAAGAGCUUGCUCUUACGGGUGGCGAGUGGCGGACGGGUGAGUAAUACAUCGGAAUCUACUUUUUCGUGGGGGAUAACGUAGGGAAACUUACGCUAAUACCGCAUACGACCUACUGGUGAAAGCAGGGGAUCUUCGGACCUUGCGCGAUUGAAUGAGCCUAUGUCGGAUUAGCUAGUUGGCGGGGUAAAGGCCCACCAAGGCGACGAUCCGUAGCUGGUCUGAGAGGAUGAACAGACACACUGGAACUGAGACACGGUACAGACUCCUACGGGAGGCAGCAGUGGGGAAUAUUGGACAAUGGGGGAAAGCCUGAUACAGCAAUACCGCGUGGGUGAAGAAGGACUUCGGGUUGGAAAGCCCUUUUGUUGGGAAAGAAAAGAAGCAGGUUAAUACCCGGCUGUUCUGACGGUACCCAAAGAAUAAGCACCGGCUAACUUCGUG
This 492-nucleotide ribosomal RNA is filed under the name uncultured bacterium. RNAcentral's name for it is "partial 16S ribosomal RNA". It matches the Rfam family "Bacterial small subunit ribosomal RNA", at positions 29 to 507 of the family's 1533-position model. The record is from RNAcentral.